Molecule: non-coding RNA, 22 nt
Filed under: Arabidopsis thaliana (thale cress)
Lineage: Eukaryota; Viridiplantae; Streptophyta; Magnoliopsida; Brassicales; Brassicaceae
Source: RNAcentral
UCUCUGUGUCUUGUCUAACACA